GAGCUGAAGAGUGUUAGAAGAACCAAAUGAAGUAGCAGAUAUUCAUGGAAGCACUGGAGCUGACAAGGUCACAGAACUGUGCACAUCUGUUCUUCAAGGAUCAAAGACCUCAUUGGAUUAACUUUACUGAAGCAAAAGAAAAGGGACGGUAUUGAAAAAAAUGUUAUCAGGAGAACAAACUAGAAGAAGCAAGUCUGAAAACAAAGAGCUAGAUGAACGUAAGCCACAGCAACAGAGUCCUUCAAAUAAAGUACAGUAAUACACAUUU
This is a non-coding RNA of Anolis sagrei ordinatus, 268 nucleotides long. NCBI's taxonomy places the organism in Eukaryota, Metazoa, Chordata, Lepidosauria, Squamata, Anolidae. The record is from RefSeq and is a predicted model, not a curated record.